CUCCCUUGCCCCGCCCACUUCCAAACGGCCAGUCUCCGCCAAUCUUCGGAUGCCCAGGACAGCCUCCCUCAAACCGCUCGCGGGGUCCCGCCUCCACCCAAGGUCCUAAACGCCCCACCAACGGGAUCACGCCUCUGAGCCCCUCCCGCCGCCCCUUCAGGGCACCUCUCCCCUCCCCCGCUGCUACCCCACGGGAUGUGUACUUUGUCACCCGCCCUGUGCGUUGCCACCUCCACCAAGUCCCCUCGGCUGACUUCUGGGAACUUCCUCCGCAGAACCCCUCAAGAGGUCACCUGCUCCCAGAAGUGGGCCUGCAUCCCUGUCUGUAAAGUGAGGACACUGGCAUGAGGGCUGAGGCCUCUGGUUCUGCGUCUGGAGAGCUGGGGUUUGGGCUGGUGGACGUGAGAACUGGGGAUGGUGGAUCAGACAGCAUGAGCGAGUGCUCCAAGGCUGUCAAGUCCAAUAGUCACAUCCCUCUUUGCCUCCCCAAACCCCACAGCACCCCCUGCCUGUUCCCACUGCCAUGCGUUUGCCCACAGUGUUCCCUUGGCCUGAAAUCCUUUCUGCUCCGCAACUGUAGUUGCCUUUGGGACCCACAUUGCCUGGUUACGCUUGGCCAAUGCAUUGUGUUCUUAUUUGCUUCACAAACCCCCUUUCCCCACCCCACCCUCCUGCACACAGUUGCCUCCGUGUAUUCUGUGUCAUAUGACCAGCAUUGAACCAAUUCAUCCCACUUCCCGUGGCACCCAGCCCAGGACUGGUGCCAGAAAAAUAUCUGUUGAAUGAAUGAGUAAACAAACAUCGCUUGGG
This 810-nucleotide long non-coding RNA is filed under the name Homo sapiens (human). RNAcentral describes it as "HSALNT0406390". Lineage: Eukaryota; Metazoa; Chordata; Mammalia; Primates; Hominidae. The record is from RNAcentral.